RNAcentral lists this ribosomal RNA (439 nucleotides) under uncultured bacterium. RNAcentral's name for it is "partial 16S ribosomal RNA". It matches the Rfam family "Bacterial small subunit ribosomal RNA", at positions 338 to 795 of the family's 1533-position model. The record is from RNAcentral.
CCUACGGGUGGCAGCAGUGAGGAAUAUUGCACAAUGGGCGAAAGCCUGAUGCAGCAACGCCGCGUGAGCGAUGAAGGCCUUCGGGUCGUAAAGCUCUGUCCUCAAGGAAGAUAAUGACGGUACUUGAGGAGGAAGCCCCGGCUAACUACGUGCCAGCAGCCGCGGUAAUACGUAGGGGGCUAGCGUUAUCCGGAAUUACUGGGCGUAAAGGGUGCGUAGGUGGUUUCUUAAGUCAGAGGUGAAAGGCUACGGCUCAACCGUAGUAAGCCUUUGAAACUGGGGAACUUGAGUGCAGGAGAGGAGAGUGGAAUUCCUAGUGUAGCGGUGAAAUGCGUAGAUAUUAGGAGGAACACCAGUUGCGAAGGCAGCAUACCGGCGCCCGACUGACGCUGAGGCACGAAAGCGUGGGGAUCGAACAGGAUUAGAUACCCUAGUAGUC